This 68-nucleotide transfer RNA is filed under the name Marmota monax (woodchuck). RNAcentral describes it as "tRNA.Ala". Lineage: Eukaryota; Metazoa; Chordata; Mammalia; Rodentia; Sciuridae. The record is from RNAcentral.
GGAUUGUAGCUUAGUGGUAGAGCACUCACCUAGCAUGAAUGAGGCACUGGGUUCGAUCCUCAGCACCA